AGAGUUUGAUCCUGGCUCAGGACGAACGCUGGCGGCGUGCUUAACACAUGCAAGUCGAACGGAAAGGCCCUUCGGGGUACUCGAGUGGCGAACGGGUGAGUAACACGUGGGUGAUCUGCCCUGCACUUUGGGAUAAGCCUGGGAAACUGGGUCUAAUACCGAAUAUGACCAUGCGCCUCCUGGUGUGUGGUGGAAAGCUUUUGCGGUGUGGGAUGGGCCCGCGGCCUAUCAGCUUGUUGGUGGGGUAAUGGCCUACCAAGGCGACGACGGGUAGCCGGCCUGAGAGGGUGACCGGCCACACUGGGACUGAGAUACGGCCCAGACUCCUACGGGAGGCAGCAGUGGGGAAUAUUGCACAAUGGGCGCAAGCCUGAUGCAGCGACGCCGCGUGAGGGAUGACGGCCUUCGGGUUGUAAACCUCUUUCAGCACAGACGAAGCGCAAGUGACGGUAUGUGCAGAAGAAGGACCGGCCAACUACGUGCCAGCAGCCGCGGUAAUACGUAGGGUCCGAGCGUUGUCCGGAAUUACUGGGCGUAAAGAGCUCGUAGGUGGUUUGUCGCGUUGUUCGUGAAAACUCACAGCUUAACUGUGGGCGUGCGGGCGAUACGGGCAGACUAGAGUACUGCAGGGGAGACUGGAAUUCCUGGUGUAGCGGUGGAAUGCGCAGAUAUCAGGAGGAACACCGGUGGCGAAGGCGGGUCUCUGGGCAGUAACUGACGCUGAGGAGCGAAAGCGUGGGUAGCGAACAGGAUUAGAUACCCUGGUAGUCC
RNAcentral lists this ribosomal RNA (771 nucleotides) under uncultured bacterium. Its description in RNAcentral is "bacterial SSU rRNA". It matches the Rfam family "Bacterial small subunit ribosomal RNA", at positions 8 to 796 of the family's 1533-position model. The record is from RNAcentral.